RNAcentral lists this ribosomal RNA (571 nucleotides) under uncultured bacterium. RNAcentral describes it as "partial 16S ribosomal RNA". It matches the Rfam family "Bacterial small subunit ribosomal RNA", at positions 355 to 919 of the family's 1533-position model. The record is from RNAcentral.
UGGGGAAUUUUGGACAAUGGGCGAAAGCCUGAUCCAGCAAUGCCGCGUGUGUGAAGAAGGCCUUCGGGUUGUAAAGCACUUUUGUCCGGAAAGAAAUCCUCUGGGUUAAUACCUCGGGGGGAUGACGGUACCGGAAGAAUAAGCACCGGCUAACUACGUGCCAGCAGCCGCGGUAAUACGUAGGGUGCAAGCGUUAAUCGGAAUUACUGGGCGUAAAGCGUGCGCAGGCGGUUUUGUAAGACGGAUGUGAAAUCCCCGGGCUUAACCUGGGAACUGCAUUCGUGACUGCAAGGCUAGAGUAUGGCAGAGGGGGGUAGAAUUCCACGUGUAGCAGUGAAAUGCGUAGAGAUGUGGAGGAAUACCGAUGGCGAAGGCAGCCCCCUGGGCCAAUACUGACGCUCAUGCACGAAAGCGUGGGGAGCAAACAGGAUUAGAUACCCUGGUAGUCCACGCCCUAAACGAUGUCAACUAGUUGUUGGGGAUUCAUUUCCUUAGUAACGUAGCUAACGCGUGAAGUUGACCGCCUGGGGAGUACGGUCGCAAGAUUAAAACUCAAAUGAAUUGACGGGGU